This 674-nucleotide ribosomal RNA is filed under the name Coprinellus radians. RNAcentral's name for it is "eukaryotic LSU rRNA". The stretch from base 264 to 417 matches the Rfam family "5.8S ribosomal RNA". Lineage: Eukaryota; Fungi; Basidiomycota; Agaricomycetes; Agaricales; Psathyrellaceae. The record is from RNAcentral.
GUAGGUGAACCUGCGGAAGGAUCAUUAACGAAUAACUAUGGCGUUGGUUGUAGCUGGCUCCUCGGAGCAAUGUGCACGCCCGCCAUUUUUAUCUUUCCACCUGUGCACCGACUGUAGGUCUGGAUACCUCUCGCCUCCGGGCGGAUGCGAGGGUUGCUCGUAAGGGCUUCCCUUGAACUUCCAGGCUCUACGUCUUUUUACACACCCCAAUAGUAUGAUGCAGAAUGUAGUCAAUGGGCUUCUCAGCCUAUAAAACACUAUACAACUUUCAGCAACGGAUCUCUUGGCUCUCGCAUCGAUGAAGAACGCAGCGAAAUGCGAUAAGUAAUGUGAAUUGCAGAAUUCAGUGAAUCAUCGAAUCUUUGAACGCACCUUGCGCUCCUUGGUAUUCCGAGGAGCAUGCCUGUUUGAGUGUCAUUAAAUUCUCAACCUCACCAGUUUUCUGAACUGACUGAGGCUUGGAUGUGGGGGUUUGUGCAGGCUGCCUCACCGGCGGUCUGCUCCCCUGAAAUGCAUUAGCGAGGUUCAUGCUGGACCUCCGUCUAUUGGUGUGAUAAUUAUCUACGCCGUGGACGAGGAUACAGACUCGCUUCUAACCGUCCGCGAGGACAAUACCUUGACAAUUUGACCUCAAAUCAGGUAGGACUACCCGCUGAACUUAAGCAUAUCAAUAA